GCAGUCGAGCGGAGUUUGAGAGGAAGCUUGCUUCCUUUCAGGACUUAGCGGCGGACGGGUGAGUAACACGUAGGCAACCUGCCCUCAAGCCUGGGAUAACUACCGGAAACGGUAGCUAAUACCGGAUAAUUUCUUUUUUCUCCUGAGAGAAGAAUGAAAGGCGGAGCAAUCUGCUGCUUGGGGAUGGGCCUGCGGCGCAUUAGCUAGUUGGUGGGGUAACGGCCCACCAAGGCGACGAUGCGUAGCCGACCUGAGAGGGUGAACGGCCACACUGGGACUGAGACACGGCCCAGACUCCUACGGGAGGCAGCAGUAGGGAAUCUUCCGCAAUGGGCGCAAGCCUGACGGAGCAAUGCCGCGUGAGUGAUGAAGGUUUUCGGAUCGUAAAGCUCUGUUGCCAGGGAAGAACGUCCGGUAGAGUAACUGCUGCCGGAGUGACGGUACCUGAGAAGAAAGCCCCGGCUAACUACGUGCCAGCAGCCGCGGUAAUACGUAGGGGGCAAGCGUUGUCCGGAAUUAUUGGGCGUAAAGCGCGCGCAGGCGGUUAUUUAAGUCUGGUGUUUAAACCUUGGGCUCAACCUGAGGUCGCACUGGAAACUGGGUGACUUGAGUACAGAAGAGGAAAGUGGAAUUCCACGUGUAGCGGUGAA
RNAcentral lists this ribosomal RNA (650 nucleotides) under uncultured bacterium. Its description in RNAcentral is "bacterial SSU rRNA". It matches the Rfam family "Bacterial small subunit ribosomal RNA", at positions 57 to 685 of the family's 1533-position model. The record is from RNAcentral.